This 69-nucleotide transfer RNA is filed under the name Ictidomys tridecemlineatus (thirteen-lined ground squirrel). RNAcentral describes it as "Spermophilus tridecemlineatus (thirteen-lined ground squirrel) tRNA". It matches the Rfam family "tRNA". From Rfam's summary of the family: Transfer RNA (tRNA) molecules are approximately 80 nucleotides in length. Their secondary structure includes four short double-helical elements and three loops (D, anti-codon, and T loops). RNAcentral also lists the same sequence under 1 other name. The record is from Rfam by way of RNAcentral. Lineage: Eukaryota; Metazoa; Chordata; Mammalia; Rodentia; Sciuridae.
GGAGUCGUGGCUCAAUGGUAGAGCACUUGCCUGGCAUGCAUGAGGCCCUAGGUUUGAUCCUCAGCACCA